RNAcentral lists this long non-coding RNA (2197 nucleotides) under Oryza sativa (Asian cultivated rice). Its description in RNAcentral is "long non-coding RNA (OSAT_LNC001508)". Lineage: Eukaryota; Viridiplantae; Streptophyta; Magnoliopsida; Poales; Poaceae. The record is from RNAcentral.
GAGGUCGAGAGGAAGUGUAACGCCCCAGGUAGACACGUACAUGGAGUGCCACACUAAAAUACACUCAAAACCACUAACUCCCAAAAUUAUUAGAAAUUUCGGCAAAGUCUCCCCUAUAAAUGUGGACAUCCACGACAAACAGUUAUAAAUUGAACUAAUAAUAAUAUUAUUCCCACAGAGUGAUCCAUCCAUAUAACCCAUGGAAAGAAACUAAAAGAUUAUUACAAGACCGAACCAUGAUAUAGUUUAAGUAUCAUUAUGGACCUAGGCAAUAUAGUUUGAUAGUGUGCAGAUAAAUGUGUAGAUAAGAGUGCUACUUCCCGCCCAUGCAUGUCAGUCUCACUGCGUACCUAAAACCAAAUAAAACACAAUAGUGAGUAUAGAAAUACUCAGCCAGAACAAUAUGGAACUAGAAAACAUAUAUACAUAUCAUUGGCAAUAAAGCAUAAACAGAAGACUUUCUUUCUUUGAUAGGAAACACAUUUUCAAACACAAAGUCAAAGAAGAUAGUAGUUUCCAUCCCGGGCAGACAUGAAUUGAAAUAGUAGUUCCCAUCCCAGGCAGGCAUGAAUUGAAAUAGUAGUUUCCAUCCCGGACAAUAGUGAAUACAUCCUAGCAUUUGCCGGCAAAGCCGAGUAAGCGUGAUCAGCGCUUACCCAUAGGAACUUGAAUAAAGAACCAAAUUGCACUCCCAUGACUACGCAUGGUACUUGAAUAAUUGAAACCGGAAUCAAAGAACCAAAUUGAAACCAUAUUGCACAUCCAUAGCAAGCAGGGAACAUGAAUUAUUUAAGCAGAACCAGAAUCCAGAAUAUUAAAACAAGAAUAACAUCGUACACAUAAGAUCAACUUGAAAUCUAAAUGGCGUGAACAAUAAUAUGAACAUAAGCAGUUAAUUAUCACGUAGAAAUAUAUCAGAAACAAAUAGAUAGAGUAAACAAUCCAUGAAUAACUCAAUUUGUUCGUCAUGCAACCCGACGUAACACUCUCCACACCGGAUCUCUCCACACAUGCGGAGUAAAACUACGCACAAACCACUAUAUUCAACUAACGGUAGUUACAAGGGGUAUUUACUAAAAUCGACACAUAUAACAUAUAAACUUUUUACCGAUUGUAUUAAACAACCUAUAGCAGUUCUAUUACUGUUUUAUGCGUAACUAGCAAACCGUCUAACAGAAUCUAGCAAUUAAUACAACCUCGGACAUCUAGGCAAAAUUGUCUACAGCUUUCAUGUUAAGCACAACAUCAGAUUAUGCCUCUGAAAAUCCCAGAUUAAGGAAAACGAAUUGUUGUCCUGAUUUCCGGACCCGGUCAGCAGUACUGUUUCUAUUGUUUCUCCUAAACCGUUUAUCGGAAUCGAGCGAAACCAGCGGCGUUAGAAAGAUAUCGGCGAUGACUACAAACUUUAUAUAGAACAACUAAUCUGAAUCCUGAUAGUUUAAUACCAGAUUUGAAAAAUACUAUUAUCAGCCUCUAAUCAGCAAAUAUGAAAACACUCAACCGGCAAUUUAAUCUAUUCCCACGUGAAAAUUGUAUUUCUAUGGACCAAGAGGAGUUACCCUUGCAGAGGAGAAAAAUCAAAUUUGAGGUCAAUUUGUGAAAACCCAAAAAAUCCCCGACUUUUGCCUCUCUUCCCUUUUUUUUCCCUUCUUUUCUCCUCCUGCUUUCCCUGCUUCCUGAAACUUCUCUCUGUUCCUUCAAGAAGCACAGCAGCAGACCAGCAUCAGCAGCAGCAGCGAGGAAUAUCAUAUCGAUGGCAGCAGCAGCAGCAAGGAUUGGCGGCAGCACUCACCAAGAAGGAGCCGAGCAGGAGUGGCGUUGGACGGCGAUGGGUGAAUCUGCUGCGACGGCGCAACGACGGCAGCGGCAACAAGGGCACACGAGGCGGCGGCUAGGGUUAGCUGCUAGCGUUGCCCUUUUUUUUAAUUUUCUUUUUUUUCUAUUGGUUAAAUAGAGAGGCUACUAAAUAUCGAACGGCUCACAUUAAUUCAAUCCCCGGGACUUUGUUCGGACUCCGAUUACUAUAAACUUAUUUUGCACUACUCGGCGACCUCUACACAUCCACGGUUCCUGAUCACCUAUUCAAGCAACGGUUUAAAAGUUAAACUUUUACGCAUUUGUUCUAAUAUUUCUCGAAAUACACUAAUUUGAAACUCUGGGUAUUACAUGAAGAAGAGAGAGGUAGAGGUGGGAGGUC